RNAcentral lists this transfer RNA (73 nucleotides) under Canis lupus familiaris (dog). It matches the Rfam family "tRNA". From Rfam's summary of the family: Transfer RNA (tRNA) molecules are approximately 80 nucleotides in length. Their secondary structure includes four short double-helical elements and three loops (D, anti-codon, and T loops). Lineage: Eukaryota; Metazoa; Chordata; Mammalia; Carnivora; Canidae. The record is from Rfam by way of RNAcentral. RNAcentral also lists the same sequence under 1 other name.
ACCUGGCUGGCUCAAUUAGUAGAGCAGGAGAUUCUUAAUCUCAGGAUUGUGAGUUAAAGCCCCACAUUGGGUG